Molecule: non-coding RNA, 949 nt
Filed under: Bedotia geayi (Madagascar rainbowfish)
Lineage: Eukaryota; Metazoa; Chordata; Actinopteri; Atheriniformes; Bedotiidae
Description: 12S ribosomal RNA
Rfam family: Bacterial small subunit ribosomal RNA
Source: RNAcentral
CAAAGGCUUGGUCCUGACUUUCCUGUCAGCUUAAACUAAAUUUACACAUGCAAGUAUCCGCCCGCCCGUGAGAAUGCCCCACAGUUUCCCGCCCGGAAACAAGGAGCCGGUAUCAGGCUCAAUCCUCCCCCCGCCCAUGACACCUUGCUUAGCCACACCCCCAAGGGAAUUCAGCAGUGAUAAAUAUUAAGCCAUAAGUGAAAACUUGACUUAGUUAGAGUUUAAAGGGCCGGUAAAACUCGUGCCAGCCACCGCGGUUAUACGAGAGGCCCAAGUUGACAGUUACCGGCGUAAAGAGUGGUUAAGAAAAAUUUUAAACUAAAGUUGAAUACUCUCCAAACUGUUAUACGUACACGAGAACCAGAAACCCCUCAACGAAAGUGACUUUAACCUUUUUGACCCCACGAAAGCUGUGAAACAAACUGGGAUUAGAAACCCCACUAUGCCCAGCCCUAAACUUUGAUAACAAAAUACAUUCGCUAUCCGCCUGGGAACUACGAGCAUCAGCUUAAAACCCAAAGGACUUGGCGGUGCUUUAGAUCCACCUAGAGGAGCCUGUUCUAGAACCGAUACUCCCCGUUAAACCUCACCCUCUCUUGUUCAUCCCGCCUAUAUACCGCCGUCGUCAGCUUACCCUAUGAAGGCCCCAAAGUAAGCAAAAUUAGUAUAACCCAAAACGUCAGGUCGAGGUGUAGCGCAUGGCAGGGGAAGAAAUGGGCUACAUUUUCUGCCACAGAAAACACGGACAAUGAAAUGAAACAAACAUUUGAAGGAGGAUUUAGCAGUAAGCAAGAAAUAGAGUGUCUUGCUGAAACUGGCCCUGAAGCGCGCACACACCGCCCGUCACUCUCCCCAAGCCAUCAACACCUAAUAAGUAAGACCCUAUCUUAGGCAAAGGGGAGGCAAGUCGUAACAUGGUAAGUGUACCGGAAGGUGCACUUGGAUAAAC